GUAGGUGGCAAGCGUUGUCCGGAAUUAUUGGGCGUAAAGCGCGCGCAGGCGGUCCUUUAAGUCUGAUGUGAAAGCCCACGGGCUCAACCGUGGAGGGUCAUUGGAAACUGGGGGACUUGAGUACAGAAGAGGUAAGCGGAAUUCCAAGUGUAGCGGUGAAAUGCGUAGAGAUUUGCAGGAACACCAGUGGCGAAGGCGGCUUUCUGGUCUGUAACUGACGCUGAGGCGCGAAAGCGUGGGGAGCAAACAGGAUUAGAUACCCUGGUAGUCCACGCCGUAAACGAUGAGUGCUAAGUGUUAGGGGGUUUCCGCCCCUUAGUGCUGCAGCUAACGCAUUAAGCACUCCGCCUGGGGAGUACGGCCGCAAAGGCUG
RNAcentral lists this ribosomal RNA (373 nucleotides) under uncultured organism. RNAcentral's name for it is "partial 16S ribosomal RNA". It matches the Rfam family "Bacterial small subunit ribosomal RNA", at positions 527 to 896 of the family's 1533-position model. The record is from RNAcentral.